UACGGGGGGAGCAAGCGUUGUUCGGAUUUACUGGGCGUAAAGGGCGCGUAGGCGGUCAGCACAAGUCAGUUGUGAAAUCUCCGGGCUUAACUCGGAAAGGUCAACUGAUACUGUGCGACUAGAGUGCAGAAGGGGCAACUGGAAUUCUCGGUGUAGCGGUGAAAUGCGUAGAUAUCGAGAGGAACACCUGCGGCGAAGGCGGGUUGCUGGGCUGACACUGACCCUGAUGCGCGAAAGCCAGGGGAGCGAACGGG
Molecule: ribosomal RNA, 254 nt
Filed under: uncultured bacterium
Lineage: Bacteria
Description: partial 16S ribosomal RNA
Rfam family: Bacterial small subunit ribosomal RNA
Source: RNAcentral